GGUGGAAACGACCUUUUCAACGGGGACUCCGCCGACGAUAUAGCCACGCGAAUAAAGGAUUUCAUUGUCGGGCUCAUGAAGUCAACACGGCACGUGCUGGUGUACAAGAUUAUACCGAGAGGUGGGCUUGUCGGGGCAGCCAGAGAGAGAGAAAGGCUUGUGCUAAACCGCCUUCUGGUACAAAAGCUGGCUGCCCUCAACGUCACCAUCUUGACUGUUGAUCACCUGUUUCUCAGCAAGGGCAACCAGGUAAACCUCUGCAAACUUGCUGUGGACCUCUACCAUGUUUGUCGAGUCCGCGGGAUUCAGUGUCUGUCCUUUGUUUUAUGCAAGGCUUUAGAAAAAAUUUUUGGAAACGUCCGUUGUAGGGCUUGUGCACCUUUUAUUGUUUUUAAGGUGCACUGCUGCAGCCGGUGUAAAGCAAAGGGCCACCAGGUGGGUGCCUGUGUCCCCAUUGCCUGGCUGCAGCAGUAGAUAGCGCCCCAUAUUUUUCUCUACAGAAGACGACACAGUUAGCGCAAGCACAACAUCCAUUUUUUGUUUUCGGUGUUCUUUUCACAAGUGAAAGUUGUAAACAAACAAAUCCAGAGAUCCUGGGUUUACUCCCCACCCCUGCCUGUUUCAAUCUGUAUGAGCAUCGUACCGCAACAUGCGGUCGUGU
Long non-coding RNA from Ixodes scapularis (black-legged tick), 661 nucleotides. RefSeq lists it as uncharacterized. The record is from RefSeq and is a predicted model, not a curated record. The transcript has 3 exons. NCBI's taxonomy places the organism in Eukaryota, Metazoa, Arthropoda, Arachnida, Ixodida, Ixodidae.